Molecule: ribosomal RNA, 819 nt
Filed under: uncultured eukaryote
Lineage: Eukaryota
Description: SSU rRNA
Rfam family: Eukaryotic small subunit ribosomal RNA
Source: RNAcentral
CGGUGUUUAACUGGCGUGAUGUGGGACGUCCUACCGGUGGGCUUAGCCUCGCGAGGGGCGGCCCAACUAAUAUCCCGUCGUGGUGCUCUUUACUGAGUGUCGAGUCGGGCCGGUACGUUUACUUUGAACAAAUUAGAGUGCUUAAAGCAGGCUAUCCUCGCCUGAAUACUGCGUGCAUGGAAUAAUGGAAUAGGACCUCGGUUCUAUUUUGUUGGUUUUCGGAACCCCGAGGUAAUGAUUAAUAGGGACAGAUGGGGGCAUUCGUAUUGCGACGUUAGAGGUGAAAUUCUUGGAUCGUCGCAAGACGGACAGAAGCGAAAGCAUUUGCCAAAAAUGUUUUCAUUAAUCAAGAACGAAAGUUAGAGGUUCGAAGGCGAUCAGAUACCGCCCUAGUUCUAACCAUAAACGAUGCCAGCUAGCGAUCCGCCGAAGUUCCUCCGAUGACUCGGCGGGCAGCUUCCGGGAAACCAAAGCUUUUGGGUUCCGGGGGAAGUAUGGUUGCAAAGCUGAAACUUAAAGGAAUUGACGGAAGGGCACCACCAGGAGUGGAGCCUGCGGCUUAAUUUGACUCAACACGGGAAACCUCACCAGGCCCAGACACCGGAAGGAUUGACAGAUUGAUAGCUCUUUCUUGAUUCGGUGGGUGGUGGUGCAUGGCCGUUCUUAGUUGGUGGAGCGAUUUGUCUGGUUAAUUCCGAUAACGAACGAGACUCUAGCCUGCUAAAUAGGCGUACCUUAUGGUAUCGCGAAGGCCCCCGGCUUCGGCCGGUGGGUUUUUACUACCAACGUACAAACAAAUCUUCUUAGAGGGACAGGCGG